Long non-coding RNA from Wyeomyia smithii (pitcher-plant mosquito), 1028 nucleotides. RefSeq lists it as uncharacterized. NCBI's taxonomy places the organism in Eukaryota, Metazoa, Arthropoda, Insecta, Diptera, Culicidae. The record is from RefSeq and is a predicted model, not a curated record. The transcript has 3 exons.
ACAGGCAUCGAAAAACAGUCGUCAAAUGGCUAAUGUGGAGUUCAGUGAUGCCAGAUGUUAAGAUAUGUCAUCAUUGGAAGGCAUUUAAGCUUGUAUUAAGACGUGAAGCCUUAUAACCGGUAGAUUAGCCGCACACGAUUUAAUGUUUUACCUGGAAUUUUUGGCCAAUCGUCAAAAUUUUAAUGGAUUGAAUUUACAUGUUUUUGAUGUGUGUCUACCAGGGGGAUGACAUCUUUCUAGUUUAAAGGAGUAAAGAGUCUUCCCGACUAAAGUGGCAGGUAUAUGGAAUUUUUGCUGGGCAUCUGACUCGGGGCUAUAUUUUAAAUAUAGCCCCGAUAUGUGGGCGAUUGUCAAUCGUGUAGAGUUUAGAUAGGGCUGCCAUCCCCUUGGUGUCUACAUAUCUGAAUUGUGAAAACAUUUGAAGAAAUGAUUCUGGCAUCCAUGGUGAAGUCUAAGGUGUGUAAUCCUGUGUGAAACGUAUAUGGAACGAUUUGGAAUUCCUGGUAAAUGACCAAGGGUUUGAGACCUGGCUAGAGCUGGAUAUUGCUCACGAUGAAAGUGGCAUACUGAAUUUUUGGACUCCGUGCUCAUACAUGAAUGGGGCUUAAAGAUUUUUAUUACCGUAUAUAAAUUCGAUAGCCGCGAAGAGCAUGUGAAGCUUCAGGAAGAAAUGAUAAUUUAUAAAAAUGAUUGAUCCACGAACUCGAACGAUCCACGAAAUUCAUCGUAUUCUCAACAGAAAAACGCACAUCCGAAUUAUGCAGGAUUUUCAACACUAUCGACAACUCAGAUGGGAAGACGAUUUAGCAAUGGCAGUUAACGAUGAGUAAUUUCAAAUGCAUUCAGAUUGUUAUACCCACCAGGAUCUUGCAGGGAGAGUGAUUACGUGUGCCAAUCAGCUGGUUUCUGGCUGCUACGAAAGCGAGUUUAUAUACGUGAAAAAAAUGUGCAAAUGAUAAAUAAUGUUCAGUCCACGAAACUUAAUUUUCAAUAGAUUUUUUUUUUUUUCAUUCGAAUAAAAUCUUCUA